CUUAUCAAGAGUGACGGAGGGAACAGACCCUAUGAUGUCCGGCAACCUGCUUUGCAAGGUGCUAAAUUCUGCGGUAAAAACCGAUAGAUGAGG
Molecule: non-coding RNA, 93 nt
Filed under: chicken gut metagenome
Description: SAM riboswitch (S box leader)
Rfam family: SAM riboswitch aptamer (S box leader)
About the family: The SAM riboswitch is found upstream of a number of genes which code for proteins involved in methionine or cysteine biosynthesis in Gram-positive bacteria.
Source: RNAcentral